This 194-nucleotide ribosomal RNA is filed under the name Vibrio parahaemolyticus. Its description in RNAcentral is "partial 16S ribosomal RNA". It matches the Rfam family "Bacterial small subunit ribosomal RNA", at positions 1 to 175 of the family's 1533-position model. The record is from RNAcentral. Lineage: Bacteria; Pseudomonadati; Pseudomonadota; Gammaproteobacteria; Vibrionales; Vibrionaceae.
CUUAAAUUGAAGAGUUUGAUCAUGGCUCAGAUUGAACGCUGGCGGCAGGCCUAACACAUGCAAGUCGAGCGGAAACGAGUUAUCUGAACCUUCGGGGAACGAUAACGGCGUCGAGCGGCGGACGGGUGAGUAAUGCCUAGGAAAUUGCCCUGAUGUGGGGGAUAACCAUUGGAAACGAUGGCUAAUACCGCAUG